AGCGAACGCUGGCGGCAGGCUUAACACAUGCAAGUCGAACGGGCAUCUUCGGAUGUCAGUGGCAGACGGGAGAGUAACACGUGGGAACGUACCCUUCGGUUCGGAAUAACUCAGGGAAACUUGAGCUAAUACCGGAUACGCCCUUUUGGGGAAAGGUUUACUGCCGAAGGAUCGGCCCGCGUCUGAUUAGCUGGUUGGUGGGGUAACGGCCUACCAAGGCGACGAUCAGUAGCUGGUCUGAGAGGAUGAUCAGCCACACUGGGACUGAGACACGGCCCAGACUCCUACGGGAGGCAGCAGUGGGGAAUAUUGGACAAUGGGCGCAAGCCUGAUCCAGCCAUGCCGCGUGAGUGAUGAAGGCCUUAGGGUUGUAAAGCUCUUUUGUCCGGGACGAUAAUGACGGUACCGGAAGAAUAAGCCCCGGCUAACUCCGUG
RNAcentral lists this ribosomal RNA (435 nucleotides) under uncultured bacterium. RNAcentral describes it as "partial 16S ribosomal RNA". It matches the Rfam family "Bacterial small subunit ribosomal RNA", at positions 29 to 507 of the family's 1533-position model. The record is from RNAcentral.